RNAcentral lists this ribosomal RNA (429 nucleotides) under Acidobacteriota bacterium. RNAcentral's name for it is "Acidobacteria bacterium partial 16S ribosomal RNA". It matches the Rfam family "Bacterial small subunit ribosomal RNA", at positions 355 to 776 of the family's 1533-position model. Lineage: Bacteria; Pseudomonadati; Acidobacteriota. The record is from RNAcentral.
UGGGGAAUUUUGGACAAUGGGGGAAACCCUGAUCCAGCCAUCCCGCGUGUGCGAUGAAGGCCUUCGGGUUGUAAAGCACUUUUGGCAGGAAAGAAACGUCAUGGGUUAAUACCCCGUGAAACUGACGGUACCUGCAGAAUAAGCACCGGCUAACUACGUGCCAGCAGCCGCGGUAAUACGUAGGGUGCAAGCGUUAAUCGGAAUUACUGGGCGUAAAGCGUGCGCAGGCGGUUCGGAAAGAAAGAUGUGAAAUCCCAGGGCUCAACUUUGGAACUGCAUUUUUAACUACCGGGCUAGAGUGUGUCAGAGGGGGGUGGAAUUCCGCGUGUAGCAGUGAGAUGCGUAGAUAUGCGGAGGAAAACCGAUGGCGAAGGCAGCCUCCUGGGAUAACACUGACGCUCAUGCACGAAAGCGUGGGGAGCAAACAGG